AGACUCGACGCUUCGCGUCUCGUGUUUAAUUCAGCCGGUUUCAGGCAUGAGUGGCAUAAAAUACUUGAACUGAUUAGUCAAUGUGUUAUCUAUUCCAAAUUCAAAAAGUUAACUACACCUUCAAGAGGUUAUUCAAUAUCGAUUUAAAAGUUAAAUUAGCGUAUUUAGUUUAGUUUAACCACUUUACUAAUGAAAUGUUUAUAGCUAAUAAAAAUUGUCGAUAUCGAAAAGCUGAAUAUGGAAAUGGUGAACGAUAUAAAGAGACAGCGCGUGAGUUAAGCUCAAUAAUCGUCAUCACUCCGAUACUUGGCCUUACUGUUAAUAGUGUUGUGUGAUCAAAGUGAAAUAUCCUAUUCUUCAAGAGUUCUUGGUGUAUCUUCAAUGGCAUUAAAAACUCAUUUUCCUAUAUUAGAAGUACUGAUGAACGAGUUGACAAGACGAGGGCAUGACGUUCACGUGAUCGGGAUGUUUCCUCGCAAUAACUCACUAUCUAAUUAUAGAGAUAUCGAUAUUAGGUAAUUAUAGAGAAAUCGAUGUUGAAGCGCUGAAUAUGAAGGUGAGAGGUCAAUCCAUCUAAUUUGUCAAAUGUUCUGAUGAAAUAUAUGCUCUACUCUCUAAUUAAUCAAGAGGUAUACGCGUCAAAUUAUUAUACAGCCUUUGGACGACAUCUUCAUGGUAUAAUAACCCAGAAAAUAACGGAUUGGCUUGUAUGAUCUCAUGGAAACUCACUGAACUCUUGGUACACAAAGUACCAAUGGUUGGCAUUCCCAUGUUUGUGGGCAACCUAACAGCUGACUCACUCGCCAAGAUUCUUAAAAAUGUGGUCAAUGAUUUACUUUCUUAAAAAAUUUUGUCUAAAAUUUCUGAUAUACUUUUUGGAAAUUUUUAUCGAAUUUAACUACCACUGAAAUUUCAAGGAAUUUCGUCAUUGAAAAUCCAGAAUUUCGUGGAAAAAUCAAAGAGGAGAGAGAACUGUAAAUGUCAGUUCUAUUUUGCUCUAAAAAUGAAUAGAAAACCAAAAAAUUCCGUGUAUGUUACAGAUGUCUUAUUGAAAUCCUCCACUACCUAAUCUCCAUCCUCUGAUCAUUGAUUACAAUUUCCGGCAGAAUGCAGAAAGAAUGUUGAAGCUGUUCCUGGAUCGACCAAACAAGUCCUGUAGACACCACUGUCUACUGGGCUGAAUAUAUCCAGCUCGACGCAGAACAGCUGCUGAAUCUCCAAUCAAUCAUUCAACUUAGCAAUAAUUCUAUCUGUUAUACUGGAUACUGAGAAUAAUUACGCAUCAUUUGA
This is a long non-coding RNA of Diachasma alloeum, 1290 nucleotides long. RefSeq lists it as uncharacterized. The transcript is spliced from 2 exons. The record is from RefSeq and is a predicted model, not a curated record. Lineage: Eukaryota; Metazoa; Arthropoda; Insecta; Hymenoptera; Braconidae.